This 442-nucleotide ribosomal RNA is filed under the name uncultured bacterium. RNAcentral describes it as "partial 16S ribosomal RNA". It matches the Rfam family "Bacterial small subunit ribosomal RNA", at positions 338 to 795 of the family's 1533-position model. The record is from RNAcentral.
CCUACGGGAGGCAGCAGUAGGGAAUCUUUCACAAUGGGCGAAAGCCUGAUGGAGCAACGCCGCGUGCAGGAUGAAGGCCUUCGGGUUGUAAACUGCUUUUAUAAGCGAGAAAGAUGAUGGUAACUUAUGAAUAAGGAUCGGCGAACGACGUGCCAGCAGCCGCGGUCAUACGUAGGAUCCGAGCAUUAUCCGGGGUGACUGGGUGUUAAAAGUUGCGUAGGUGGUCUAAUAAGUAGCUAGUGAAAUCUGGUGGCUCAACCAUUCAGACUGGUAGCUAAACUGUUAAGCUCGAGACCGUUAGAGGUAACUGGAAUUUCUAGUGUAGGGGUGAAAUCCGUAGAUAUUAGCAGGAACACCAAUGGCGUAGGCAGGUUACUGGGACGGUUCUGACACUCAGGCACGAAAGCGUCGGGAGCAAACAGGAUUAGAUACCCGGGUAGUC